This is a non-coding RNA of Neopestalotiopsis sp. 37M, 87 nucleotides long. The record is from the annotation of a GenBank genome assembly. NCBI's taxonomy places the organism in Eukaryota, Fungi, Ascomycota, Sordariomycetes, Amphisphaeriales, Sporocadaceae.
GGUCGAUUAGUGUAGCUGGUUAUCACAUCGGAUUCUGAUUCUUCGUCACGCAUUCCGGUAACCGGGGUUCGAAUCCCCGAUUGACCU